Molecule: ribosomal RNA, 161 nt
Filed under: Chalara sp.
Lineage: Eukaryota; Fungi; Ascomycota; Leotiomycetes; Helotiales
Description: partial large subunit ribosomal RNA
Rfam family: Eukaryotic large subunit ribosomal RNA
Source: RNAcentral
CGGCAACAGCUCAAAUUUGAAAUCUGGCGCAAGCCCGAGUUGUAAUUUGUAGAGGAUGUUUCUGGUGUGGCUCCGGUCUAAGUUCCUUGGAACAGGACGUCAUAGAGGGUGAGAAUCCCGUAUGUGACUGGUUGCCUUCGCCCAUGUGAAGCUCUUUCGAC